CCUACGGGUGGCAGCAGUGAGGAAUAUUGCACAAUGGACGAAAGUCUGAACCAGCCAAGUAGCGUGAAGGAUGACGGCCCUCUGCGUGGUAAACUUCGUUUGUAGAGGAGUAAAACGAGGCACGUGUGCCUUUUUGCAUGUACUUUAUGAAUCAAGAUCGGCUAGCUCCGUGCCAGCAGCCGCGGUAAUACGGAGGGUCCGAGCGUUAUCCGGAUUUAUUGGGUUUAAAGGGAGCGUAGAUGGGUGUGUAAGUCAGUUGUGAAAGUUUGCGGCUCAACCGUAAAAUUGCAAUGGAUACUGGCAGGCUUGAGUGCAGGUGAGGUAGGCGGAAUUCGUGGUGUAGCGGUGAAAUGCGUAGAUAUCAGGAAGAACCCCGGUUGCGAAGGCAGCUUACUAAACUGUGACUGACGUUGAGGCUCGAAAGUGUGGGUAUCAAACAGGAUUAGAUACCCGUGUGGUC
Molecule: ribosomal RNA, 460 nt
Filed under: uncultured bacterium
Lineage: Bacteria
Description: partial 16S ribosomal RNA
Rfam family: Bacterial small subunit ribosomal RNA
Source: RNAcentral